This 253-nucleotide ribosomal RNA is filed under the name uncultured bacterium. RNAcentral's name for it is "partial 16S ribosomal RNA". It matches the Rfam family "Bacterial small subunit ribosomal RNA", at positions 524 to 776 of the family's 1533-position model. The record is from RNAcentral.
UACGUAGGGUGCGAGCGUUGUCCGGAAUUAUUGGGCGUAAAGGGCUCGUAGGCGGUUUGUCGCGUCGGGAGUGAAAACGCCGUGCUUAACACGGCGCUUGCUUUCGAUACGGGCAGACUAGAGGUAUGCAGGGGAGAACGGAAUUCCUGGUGUAGCGGUGAAAUGCGCAGAUAUCAGGAGGAACACCGGUGGCGAAGGCGGUUCUCUGGGCAUUACCUGACGCUGAUGGACGAAAGCUAGGGGAGCGAAAGGG